RNAcentral lists this ribosomal RNA (398 nucleotides) under uncultured bacterium. RNAcentral describes it as "bacterial SSU rRNA". It matches the Rfam family "Bacterial small subunit ribosomal RNA", at positions 358 to 772 of the family's 1533-position model. The record is from RNAcentral.
GGAAUAUUGCACAAUGGGCGAAAGCCUGAUGCAGCGACGCCGCGUGGACGAUGAAGGUUUUCGGAUCGUAAAGUCCCUUUCUGUGUGACGAGCAAGGACGGUAGCACAGGAAUAAGUGUCGGCUAACUACGUGCCCGCAGCCGCGGUAAUACGUAGGACGCAAGCGUUAUCCGGAAUUACUGGGCGUAAAGAGCGUGUAGGCGGUUGUCCAAGUCGCCCGUGAAAGCUCCCGGCUAAACUGGGAGAGGUCGGGUGAGACUGGAUGGCUAGAGGGUUGUAGAGGGGUGUGGAAUUCCGGGUGUAGUGGUGAAAUGCGUAGAUAUCCGGAGGAACACCAGAGGCGAAGGCGGCACCCUGGACAACACCUGACGCUGAGACGCGAAAGCGCGGGGAGCAAA